GUGAAUCAUCGAAUCUUUGGACGCAAAUUGCACUCUCCUCGGAGAGUAUGCCUGUUUGAGGGUCAGCCUAAAAAAAAUCGACAUCGUUGCUGUUCCGCGGUGACGUUCGUCGGAAAUUGGGUUAUCUUAACCUUUUGGGUUAAGCGACUUUAAAUUUUCCUUUUGAUUCCAUGAACGGUUCUAAGGUUUAUUUUCUUUACAGUUUAAGGGUCGGUUUUUUAUUUAGGG
This 228-nucleotide unclassified non-coding RNA is filed under the name Glomeraceae sp. RNAcentral's name for it is "partial contains 5.8S ribosomal RNA and internal transcribed spacer 2". The stretch from base 1 to 65 matches the Rfam family "5.8S ribosomal RNA", at positions 84 to 154 of the family's 154-position model. The record is from RNAcentral. Lineage: Eukaryota; Fungi; Glomeromycota; Glomeromycetes; Glomerales; Glomeraceae.